RNAcentral lists this non-coding RNA (124 nucleotides) under Salinispora tropica. Lineage: Bacteria; Bacillati; Actinomycetota; Actinomycetes; Micromonosporales; Micromonosporaceae. The record is from RNAcentral.
ACCGGACACAACUGCAUAGGUACCGGGCGGGGGAAAGCCGGCGCGACGCCGGCGCUGACCCGCAGCCGUGAGCGAGAGAGCCCUUUCGUGAGCCGGAACGCCCCGCCCGGGACGAGCGGCUUCC